CUGAUACUGGACGGUAGCCGGUGGCGAGAGAAAUGGUCAGAGGUCCGACGAGACAGACAGUGAGAGAAAGCAAAGGCAUUACUAUUCUACGAUGGUACGGUUCUUCAGUGUGGGGUCCGUCGUGGUGCUGGCGGUUCUAGCCGCGUCGCUGGUGGUCCUGCCGUUGAUGCUGCCGCCGCUGCCUCCCCCGCCGCUGAUGCUUCUCUUCUUCCCCGUGGGCAUUAUGGCCGCCCUCAUGUUGUUGGCAUUCUCGCCGACGGACGCCGCCGGACACGUGGCAGUUUGGGCGGUGUAGGUGGAGGAAGCUGGUUGGGUGGCUCCGAUUGUGGUUACAAUACUUUGCCUUGUUUUUUUUAACAAAGUUCAGAAUCAGUGGAUAAUGAUUUUGUCUCAGUGCUGACGUCAUUAUUGUUGUUCAUCUUUUGAAAAUAUAUUAGCUGAAAGCAGAUUCAGAUUCAGAGUGUUUUGUUUUUGUUUUUGUGUUUUCAAAAUUAGAAAGUGAUUUAGAAAAACAAAGCUUAAAACAGCUGUGUAUGAUGAUCCAUGAAUGAAUGAAAGAAAGAAAGUAAGAAAGGAUGAUUCAGAAUUUAAAUGGAAUGUGAUUUGUGAAAGGAUGGAAGUUUGGUUGCUGUUUUGAAAACAAAAAACAUUAAAAACAUGUUUGAGAAAUGGGAUGUAUUUUUAUUUUUUUGUAUUUCUUGUGUUCUUAAAAACCAUUUGAGAAAUAUUUUCAUUAUUUUUUUAUUGUUCACGAAACUGUAGGUGAUUUUUUACUAUUUAAGUAACUCUUUUUUUAAAUAAAAAAUUAUAAUUAAUUUAAAAUUUUUAAAAGAAAUCAUUUUAUUGAUUUAAAUGAAUUAUACAUAUAAAAAUUAUUUAUAUAUUUAUAAUAUCAAAUUAACUAAAAAAAAUAUUUCAUUAAUUAAAAAAACAGCUUUUAAGUAUAUUUUUUAUUUUAUUUAUUUAAAAAAAAUUAUUAAUUCUAUCAAAUGCAUUUUUUUUUUGUUUUUGAGAACAAAAGUUGUUUUCUGGAAUUUAGGUUUUAAACAUAAUUUAAAAAAAAAAUCAAAAACUAUCCUUAAAAAAUGUUAUCAAAAACUGUUUUUUAAAGAAUAGCUUUUAAAAACAGUAAACAAAUAGGCCUAUUUAUGAUUUUGAGAUGAUUUGAAAACAUACUAUUUUCUCGUGCAUCAGCUUAGGAAGCAGUGCAGAGAGGCAGUGAAAUAGGAUUUUUGAAGUUAAAAAAUUGGGCGGUGAGAACUUGAGAGCAACAAUAAAGUAGGAAAUAGAAUGGAUUUCUCGUUUGUUCCAAAGAUCCAAACAGAUCUUUAAAGGUUGAUACUCUGCUUCACAUUUAAAAAUGGUCUUUUCUUCUUAAAAACAGAUCUUCUAUUUUUAUGACUCAUUGUAAAAAGGGGAAUCUCUAAUAAAAAUUCGUUCAACUUUCUUUUUACAUUCUAUUUUCUUUUCCUUCUUCUUCUUCUUCUUCUUCUUUUACUUUAUUAUUUUACAACAUUAUUAUUUUACAACAAACAAUAUGUUCUCUUUCUUAUUUAUUUUGAAUUAAUUGGUUAAAAGAUAUUAAAUAAUCCCCUAUUUAUGAAUUUAAUAUUUUUCAUGUUUUUUUCUUAAAGAAUAAUCUAUUUUUGAUAUAAAUGUCCUUAAUUAUUUUAAAUAUUUAUACAUAAGUUUUAAAAGAAAUGGUUAUUUUUAUAAGAAAAAAAUAAGAGCAUUUUUGUCAAAAUGUGGUAAAAAAAUGAUGAAUGAUUAAAUUUUCAAAAUGGAGUUUUCAAUAACUCUUCUAAUCAAAUAAUCUAUUUAUUUUUCCAUUGCUUAGAACUAAAAUCUUGAAAUAUGAUUUUCUUUGAGAAAAAUUUAAGGAAAACAAAUAAAGAGAAAAAAAUAAAUUAGAAGCUCCUCAUUUUUUUUCUAGAAUCAUUUGUUUUUCAUUUAAAAUCUUUAGAACUUAAACAUUGAUUGAAUUAAUACUAGAAAAUCAUAAAACUAAAAAUCAAUCUAAUAAGAGUACAAUUAAAUGUGAUUAUUGGAAAUGUUUUUAGUCUAAACAAUGUUUUUUUUAAAAAAAAAAAAAACUAGUGUUUGGUAAAAUUUAGGAAACACUUAUGAGUUUGAUAGUGAUUUUAGGAAGUAUUUUUAGAUUUUCUAAAACUUGAAAAUUUUUAUCUUGCAAGUAUAAAAAAAGUUAAGAAAUACUUCCUAGAAUCACUACCAAACACACGAACAUGUUUGGUAGUAAUUUAAGAAAAUGUUUUUAACAUUUCUAACACUUGAAUAAUACAAAUUUUAAAGUGUUAAAAAGUUUGGAAACACUUCUUAAAAUCAUUACCAAACUGGUUAUAAAUAGUGUUGAAAAAUCAUUUGUAAUAUUUUAUAGAGAAACAUAAUAUGUGAUUCUUCCAAAAAUACUUUAAAAAAAACAUUUUCAUUAAAAACUCUUCAAAAGAAAAACGCUAUUAAACACACUCUAAAUACCAUAAAGUCGUACUAUAAAAGCGAUUUUGAAUGAUUUUAUUAGCUUCUCUUUACAAUGUAAUUAAAACAAAAAAGUAACUUUACUAUAAAAAUUUAUGAGUUAAAUCUCAUCUAAAAUGACUUCAUUGUUUUUACUUUGUAUAUAAUUGCAUUUUUAUGAUUUUUUUUUCAUUCGAUAAAUGAAUUUCAAAUUAAAGGAAAUUUAAUAUAUUGUUAAUGAGUUUAGUAAUUUUUAAAAAUAUCUUAAAAUAAAAUAAAAAAAAACCAAAUCAAUGUAACAAAAUAAUAUAAGAAAAAACCUGGUAUAAAACAAAUUAUCUUUACUAUUUUUCCUUUGCAUAUAAACAAAUAAAUUCUAAAUCAAAAGAGACCAAUAAAUCAAGGAAGACAUAAAGGUUGUUUGGUAAAAUCUAAUAUUUAUUAUUUAAUUACUUAAUUUUACCUUAAUUUAAAUUAUUAUUAAGUUAUUUACUUAAAACCUAUUAUUUGGUUUUUACUUUAAAUAUUAAAGGUCUUUAUUAACUUAAAAUUUAUUAUAAAUCAUCGAAUUGACAUAAUCACUCUUAUGAAUCUUAACUAUUAUUUACACUGAUUAAUUUUAACUAAUAUCUCAUGCUAUUAAUUUUAAACAAUGAAUUAGUUUGUUAAAUAUUUAUAUUUAAAAUAUUACAAAUACAUAAAAUAAUCAAAAGAUAUUUACUAUAAAAUUCAAUCAUGGAUGUAGAGUUAUACUCAUAAAAUAGACACUCACUACAUAUGGGUAAAUGAGAUAAAAUAAAUUUGACAUUAAAAAUAAGUUAAUUAUUUUGACUUAAUAUUUAAAAGUUAUUAUUAACAAUAUUAAGUUAUUUUACUAGAUAUGUUUAAUCUACUUAAUGAUUUAAAUUAAAUUAUUAAAUCAAUAAAUUAACUUAGCAAACAACCUAUUAGAGUCCAUUUGAGAGUACUUUAAAAAAAAAUGCUUAUAGUUUAAAAAGAACUUUUGAAGAAAAAUUAGGUGUUUUGACAAAAUUUGGAAAACUCUUUUUAAAAAAUUGAAAGAAUCACUUAUAGUUUUUCAUAGAUAAACAUUUGAUAAAUGAUUAUUUUAAAAAUAAUUUUAGAGAAAAUAAUUCAACUAAAAGAACUUCAAAUAUAAAUACUCCUAAAUAUGCUCUUAAUGUUUUGUUUUUAUUUUUAUUUUUAAUUUUUUUUAUUUCUAACGAAUCUAUUAAUUUUUAAUAGUAAUUUGAAAUUUAAGUUACUGAUUC
This 3743-nucleotide long non-coding RNA is filed under the name Vitis vinifera (wine grape). Its description in RNAcentral is "long non-coding RNA (VVIN_LNC004290)". The record is from RNAcentral. Lineage: Eukaryota; Viridiplantae; Streptophyta; Magnoliopsida; Vitales; Vitaceae.